UACGGAGGAUGCGAGCGUUAUCCGGAUUUAUUGGGUUUAAAGGGUGCGUAGGCGGCCGAGUAAGUCAGCGGUGAAAUUUUGCAGCUUAACUGUAACAGUGCCGUUGAUACUGCAUGGCUAGGAUUUGGUUGCUGUGGGUGGAAUGUGUGGUGUAGCGGUGAAAUGCUUAGAUAUCACACAGAAUAUCGAUUGCGAAGGCAGCUCACAAAGCCAAGAUUGACGCUGAGGCACGAAAGUGUGGGGAUCAAACAGGAUUAGAUACCCUGGUAGUCCACACUGUAAACGAUGAUAACUCACUGCCGGCGAUACACAGUCGGUGGCCAAGCGAAAGCGAUAAGUUAUCCACCUGGGGAGUACGACCGCAAGGUUGAA
This 372-nucleotide ribosomal RNA is filed under the name uncultured bacterium. RNAcentral's name for it is "bacterial SSU rRNA". It matches the Rfam family "Bacterial small subunit ribosomal RNA", at positions 524 to 898 of the family's 1533-position model. The record is from RNAcentral.